CAGCCGCCGCGGGAAUACGAAGGGGGCUAGCGUUGUUCGGAAUUACUGGGCGUAAAGCGCACGUAGGCGGAUACUUAAGUUAGGGGUGAAAUCCCAGGGCUCAACCCUGGAACUGCCUUUAAUACUGGGUAUCUUGAGUUCGAGAGAGGUAAGUGGAAUUCCGAGUGUAGAGGUGAAAUUCGUAGUUAUUCGGAGGAACACCAGUGGCGAAGGCGGCUUACUGGCUCGAUACUGACGCUGAGGUGCGAAAGCGUGGGGAGCAAACAGGAUUAGAUACCCGCGUAGUCCCUGUCUCUUAUAC
This 301-nucleotide ribosomal RNA is filed under the name uncultured bacterium. RNAcentral describes it as "partial 16S ribosomal RNA". It matches the Rfam family "Bacterial small subunit ribosomal RNA", at positions 509 to 807 of the family's 1533-position model. The record is from RNAcentral.